This 446-nucleotide ribosomal RNA is filed under the name uncultured bacterium. Its description in RNAcentral is "partial 16S ribosomal RNA". It matches the Rfam family "Bacterial small subunit ribosomal RNA", at positions 338 to 795 of the family's 1533-position model. The record is from RNAcentral.
CCUACGGGUGGCAGCAGUCGAGAAUCAUUCACAAUGGGGGAAACCCUGAUGGUGCGACGCCGCGUGGGGGAAUGAAGGUCUUCGGAUUGUAAACCCCUGUCAUGUGGGAGCAAAUUAAAAAGAUAGUACCACAAGAGGAAGAGACGGCUAACGCUGUGCAAGCAGCCGCGGUAAUACAGAGGUCUCAAGCGUUGUUCGGAAUCACUGGGCGUAAAGCGUGCGGAGGCUGUUUCGUAAGUCGUGUGUGAAAGGCGCGGGCUCAACCCGCGGACGGCACAUGAUACUGGGAGACUAGAGGAAUGGAGGGGGAACCGGAAUUCUCGGUGUAGCAGUGAAAUGCGUAGAUAUCGAGAGGAACACUCGUGGCGAAGGCGGGUUCCUGGACAUUAACUGACGCUGAGGCACGAAGGCCAGGGGAGCGAAAGGGAUUAGAUACCCCGGUAGUC